UCCCUGGUGGUUCAGUGCCAAGACUUUGCAUUCCCAAUGCAGGGGGCCUGGGUUCAAUCCCUGGUCAGGGAA
This 72-nucleotide transfer RNA is filed under the name Bos taurus (domestic cattle). It matches the Rfam family "tRNA". Rfam says of the family: Transfer RNA (tRNA) molecules are approximately 80 nucleotides in length. Their secondary structure includes four short double-helical elements and three loops (D, anti-codon, and T loops). Further hydrogen bonds mediate the characteristic L-shaped molecular structure. tRNAs have two regions of fundamental functional importance: the anti-codon, which is responsible for specific mRNA codon recognition, and the 3' end, to which the tRNAs corresponding amino acid is attached (by aminoacyl-tRNA synthetases). tRNAs cope with the degeneracy of the genetic code in two manners: having more than one tRNA (with a specific anti-codon) for a particular amino acid; and 'wobble' base-pairing, i.e. permitting non-standard base-pairing at the 3rd anti-codon position. RNAcentral also lists the same sequence under 2 other names. Lineage: Eukaryota; Metazoa; Chordata; Mammalia; Artiodactyla; Bovidae. The record is from Rfam by way of RNAcentral.